CCGGAAAAUAUGAAAUUCUGUGCUUUGGAUAAUAUUUGGGCAACCUGGACGAAGGCAGCAUUCUAUUCUGGCGAAGUUGUUCGAAGCAUUUGGAGACGAAAAUUAUGGCCGAAAUUGCUCCAUUUAUCUCGCCUUUGAAGCGAAAGUCUGAUUAGCUUUCUCUGCUACACUUAUUGGUGAAACGAACAGGUAAAAUACUCUUUAUUUCAUGUUUAUUUGUGUAUUUAUUCGAGCUGACUUACGAGACGAUUUUAAACACGUGGGCGAAUUUGCCGUUCACGUUUAACUUCGAUUUGGUGAAACUCCUGCUCAAAUAUCAAGCGUAUUUCGUUGACAGAGGCUUUAAAAACGUUCGUAUAUAGCUAACGUUGCCUAUGUUUUAUUUUAGAUGGAGUUUUUACAAGUUAAAAGCAGUUUAAACGUCGACAAAAGCUGCGUACAAAAUAUUCAAUGCGACGUCUAAUUUAAAUUCCUCAAAGAAAGCAAGAAUGCAGAUUACAUUUAACUUGGUUAACAAGCAGGUAAUUAAGUCUUUGUUUCGUGUUUGUUUUGUGCAAUUAUACCACUUACAUCUCAACUUAAAAGCGAGACGAACAGGACAAAUUGUAAGAUUCGUGUCGAAUGCAUGAAUAAUUUCACUUUGCCUUUGCGAAAACUCUUGCGCAAAUACCAAGCGUAUUUCGUUUAAAAAGCAUUAAAAACCUUUGUAGAUAGCUAACAUUGCUUCUGUUUUAAUUCAGAUAGAGUUUUGACAAGUUGAAACGUUCAAACGUAGACGAAAUCUGUGGACAAGAUCAAUUCAACAAAGCCGAAAGUUACGUUCAGAAUUGGUCAAAAUUGUCUCGCGUUGCAUACUUGGCUUUGAAGAGAAAGCACGCUUAGCUUCUCUUCCACAAACACAGUGAC
This is a non-coding RNA of Paramuricea clavata, 906 nucleotides long. The record is from the annotation of a GenBank genome assembly. Lineage: Eukaryota; Metazoa; Cnidaria; Anthozoa; Malacalcyonacea; Plexauridae.